GCAUAUCAAUAAGCGGAGGAAAAGAAACCAACAGGGAUUGCCCCAGUAACGGCGAGUGAAGCGGCAACAGCUCAAAUUUGAAAUCUGGCCCCCCCCCCCGGGGGGCCCGAGUUGUAAUUUGCAGAGGAUGCUUUGGGCGAGGCGCCUUCCGAGUUCCCUGGAACGGGACGCCACAGAGGGUGAGAGCCCCGUCUGGUCGGACGCCGAGCCUCUGUAAAGCUCCUUCGACGAGUCGAGUAGUUUGGGAAUGCUGCUCAAAAUGGGAGGUAUAUGUCUUCUAAAGCUAAAUACCGGCCAGAGACCGAUAGCGCACAAGUAGAGUGAUCGAAAGAUGAAAAGCACCUUGAAAAGGGGGUUAAACAGUACGUGAAAUUGUUGAAAGGGAAGCGCUCGUGACCAGCUUGGGGCGGGCGGAUCAGCCGGCGUUCUCGCCGGCGCACUCCGCCCGUCCCAGGCCAGCAUCAGUUCGCGCCGGGGGACAAAGGCGGCGGGAACGUGGCUCCCCAGGGAGUGUUAUAGCCCGCCGCGCCAUGCCCCGGGGGCGGACUGAGGCCCGCGCAUCACUGCAAGGAUGCUGGCGUAAUGGUCACCAGCGACCCGUCUUGAAACACGGACC
This 616-nucleotide ribosomal RNA is filed under the name Moelleriella libera. Its description in RNAcentral is "eukaryotic LSU rRNA". It matches the Rfam family "Eukaryotic large subunit ribosomal RNA", at positions 38 to 667 of the family's 3401-position model. Lineage: Eukaryota; Fungi; Ascomycota; Sordariomycetes; Hypocreales; Clavicipitaceae. The record is from RNAcentral.